Molecule: unclassified non-coding RNA, 293 nt
Filed under: Hevea brasiliensis (rubber tree)
Lineage: Eukaryota; Viridiplantae; Streptophyta; Magnoliopsida; Malpighiales; Euphorbiaceae
Source: RNAcentral
UGCAAGUUAGUGAGAAACUGGAUGAUGAGUACUUAGUAAAAGAAAACAUAGCACCAAGUGAUGAAAUGCACAAAUGGAACUUCAAAGGAGAAUCAAAAGCACUUUUGGAUGAACAGAAAGAAGAACCAAGGAUGGUAUUUUCAUCAGAAGAGGAUCAUCCUUUCAGAGAAACAGAUCGAUUAACGUCAGUCUCACUGCUUUCUUCUGGAGAUCAAGUCCUCCAAGCAUGUCAAUAGGAGAUCAAGUCCUCCAAGCAUGUCAAUAGGAGAUCAAGUCCUCCAAGCAUGUCAAUA